UACGGGGGGGGCAAGCGUUGUUCGGAAUUACUGGGCGUAAAGGGCUCGUAGGCGGCCAACUAAGUCAGACGUGAAAUCCCUCGGCUUAACCGGGGAACUGCGUCCGAUACUGGUUGGCUUGAAUCCGGGAGAGGGAUGUGGAAUUCCAGGUGUAGCGGUGAAAUGCGUAGAUAUCUGGAGGAACACCGGUGGCGAAGGCGACAUCCUGGACCGGUAUUGACGCUGAGGCGCGAAAGCCAGGGGAGCAAACGUG
RNAcentral lists this ribosomal RNA (253 nucleotides) under uncultured bacterium. RNAcentral describes it as "partial 16S ribosomal RNA". It matches the Rfam family "Bacterial small subunit ribosomal RNA", at positions 524 to 776 of the family's 1533-position model. The record is from RNAcentral.